RNAcentral lists this ribosomal RNA (372 nucleotides) under uncultured organism. RNAcentral describes it as "partial 16S ribosomal RNA". It matches the Rfam family "Bacterial small subunit ribosomal RNA", at positions 527 to 896 of the family's 1533-position model. The record is from RNAcentral.
GUAGGUAGCAAGCGUUGUCCGGAAUUAUUGGGCGUAAAGCGCGCGCAGGCGGUUCUUUAAGUCUGAUGUGAAAGCCCACGGCUCAACCGUGGAGGGUCAUUGGAAACUGGAGAACUUGAGUACAGAAGAGGAAAGCGGAAUUCCACGUGUAGCGGUGAAAUGCGCAGAGAUGUGGAGGAACACCAGUGGCGAAGGCGGCUUUCUGGUCUGUAACUGACGCUGAGGCGCGAAAGCGUGGGGGAGCAAACAGGAUUAGAUACCCUGGUAGUCCACGCCGUAAACGAUGAGUGCUAAGUGUUAGGGGGUUUCCGCCCCUUAGUGCUGCAGCUAACGCAUUAAGCACUCCGCCCUGGGAGUACGGCCGCAAGGCUG